Molecule: ribosomal RNA, 519 nt
Filed under: Triticum aestivum (bread wheat)
Lineage: Eukaryota; Viridiplantae; Streptophyta; Magnoliopsida; Poales; Poaceae
Description: partial small subunit ribosomal RNA
Source: RNAcentral
AUGAAUAACAUACAGGCCACCCAGAACAAAGGAGAUUCCUGCGGCGUAUAUCCUCCCUCCGCUUUCAUGAUGGUACAUCACCAACCGGCUGCCAUACCAGGCGAGGAAGGCCCAAAUGGCGAAAGAAAGACCGGUGAAUCCGACAGCGAGGCCUUUGGCAAUGCCCUGCUUGAUCCCCAGGUUGAUGGUCUUGUCGAGGAUUGCCGUGUACCUCUGGAUGAUCCCUUUCUCUGCAGUGAAGGAGUAGACGGUCUUGAUGGAGCCAAGUGCUUGCUCCACGAGGGAGUUUGCCUUGGCGUACUCGCGGCGCGACUCGCGGGAGAGGUACAGAAGGUACUUCCCGUAGAUGAGACCAGGGAUUAUGAGGAGCAGGACCAGAGGGUAGGAAACCAGAGCCAGCCUCCAGGAGAAAUAGGUGGAGAAGGCGAGCCCGGAGACGAAGACCGUGGAGUGCAUCAGAAACAGAGGAACCUGUUCAAGGUAUGUCUCCAGACUAUCUCAGUCGAGAACAGAGUGUGA